GAUGAACGCUGGCGGCGUGCCUAAUACAUGCAAGUCGAGCGAACAGACGAGGAGCUUGCUCCUCUGACGUUAGCGGCGGACGGGUGAGUAACACGUGGAUAACCUACCUAUAAGACUGGGAUAACUUCGGGAAACCGGAGCUAAUACCGGAUAAUAUAUUGAACCGCAUGGUUCAAUAGUGAAAGACGGUUUUGCUGUCACUUAUGGAUGGAUCCGCGCCGCAUUAGCUAGUUGGUAAGGUAACGGCUUACCAAGGCAACGAUGCGUAGCCGACCUGAGAGGGUGAUCGGCCACACUGGAACUGAGACACGGUCCAGACUCCUACGGGAGGCAGCAGUAGGGAAUCUUCCGCAAAGGGCGAAAGCCUGACGGAGCAACGCCGCGUGAGUGAUGAAGGUCUUCGGAUCGUAAAACUCUGUUAUUAGGGAAGAACAAAUGUGUAAGUAACUAUGCACGUCUUGACGGUACCUAAUCAGAAAGCCACGGCUAACUACGUG
RNAcentral lists this ribosomal RNA (497 nucleotides) under uncultured bacterium. RNAcentral's name for it is "partial 16S ribosomal RNA". It matches the Rfam family "Bacterial small subunit ribosomal RNA", at positions 28 to 507 of the family's 1533-position model. The record is from RNAcentral.